Molecule: ribosomal RNA, 497 nt
Filed under: uncultured bacterium
Lineage: Bacteria
Description: partial 16S ribosomal RNA
Rfam family: Bacterial small subunit ribosomal RNA
Source: RNAcentral
GAUGAACGCUGGCGGCGUGCCUAAUACAUGCAAGUCGAGCGAACAGACGAGGAGCUUGCUCCUCUGACGUUAGCGGCGGACGGGUGAGUAACACGUGGAUAACCUACCUAUAAGACUGGGAUAACUUCGGGAAACCGGAGCUAAUACCGGAUAAUAUAUUGAACCGCAUGGUUCAAUAGUGAAGGACGGUUUUGCUGUCACUUAUAGAUGGAUCCGCGCCGCAUUAGCUAGUUGGUAAGGUAACGGCUUACCAAGGCGACGAUGCGUAGCCGACCUGAGAGGGUGAUCGGCCACACUGGAACUGAGACACGGUCCAGACUCCUACGGGAGGCAGCAGUAGGGAAUCUUCCGCAAUGUGCGAAAGCCUGACGGAGCAACGCCGCGUGAGUGAUGAAGGUCUUCGGAUCGUAAAACUCUGUUAUUAGGGAAGAACAAAUGUGUAAGUAACUAUGCACGUCUUGACGGUACCUAAUCAGAAAGCCACGGCUAACUACGUG